Triticum aestivum (bread wheat) is the source of this 519-nucleotide long non-coding RNA. RefSeq lists it as uncharacterized. The record is from RefSeq and is a predicted model, not a curated record. The transcript is spliced from 2 exons. Lineage: Eukaryota; Viridiplantae; Streptophyta; Magnoliopsida; Poales; Poaceae.
UUACUGCUUCAGUGAUUUCCUUGCGAACUGCUAUUCCUUCAGCUAUGACAAGUGAUUGCCAUGAUCUGCACCCGCUCGGACGCACCCCUGGAAGUGUCUUUCUGGGGAGAUAGGUUACCUUGACCUGAGAAUUUACCCUGACCGGAAUUGUGGUUAUUGCAGGCGAAUUUGGGGCUGAGGAAAGAAGACGAGGAGCAACUUCUCUCUGGUCUGGUGGUUGGAACUUCAGGACAAGGUGAAGGUUUUCAAAUGUUGAAGGAGCAGGACAAUAGGAACUUCUGUGAUGUCUUGUCAUCUAUUUUCUUUUCUUUUCUGUAGAAUAGUUUUGUUUGGCACUUACUGGUACCUUGGAUGUAAAGAUAUGUACUGCUAGAACGAAUGCAUGUAAAGAUAUUUUGGGCUCCUAUAACAUUUCAUGUUGCUUUGAAAAUGUAUCGGAACUGGGCUAGGCCCAAGAUAGCUUGUAGUGUGAUGUGUUGUAAUGUCAAUGGCAUAAUAAAAAAAGUUGGACUGGAUCAA